GAUGAACGCUGGCGGCGUGCCUAAUGCAUGCAAGUCGAGCGAACGGACGAGAAGCUUGCUUCUCUGAUGUUAGCGGCGGACGGGUGAGUAACACGUGGAUAACCUACCUAUAAGACUGGGAUAACUUCGGGAAACCGGAGCUAAUACCGGAUAAUAUUUUGAACCGCAUGGUUCAAAAGUGAAAGACGGUCUUGCUGUCACUUAUAGAUGGAUCCGCGCUGCAUUAGCUAGUUGGUAAGGUAACGGCUUACCAAGGCAACGAUGCAUAGCCGACCUGAGAGGGUGAUCGGCCACACUGGAACUGAGACACGGUCCAGACUCCUACGGGAGGCAGCAGUAGGGAAUCUUCCGCAAUGGGCGAAAGCCUGACGGAGCAACGCCGCGUGAGUGAUGAAGGUCUUCGGAUCGUAAAACUCUGUUAUUAGGGAAGAACAUAUGUGUAAGUAACUGUGCACAUCUUGACGGUACCUGAUCAGAAAGCCACGGCUAACUACGUG
Molecule: ribosomal RNA, 497 nt
Filed under: uncultured bacterium
Lineage: Bacteria
Description: partial 16S ribosomal RNA
Rfam family: Bacterial small subunit ribosomal RNA
Source: RNAcentral